GGGGGUGUAGCUCAGCAGUAGAGCGUGUGCUUGGCUUGCACAAGGUCCUGGGUUCAAUCCCCGGUGCCUCUA
RNAcentral lists this transfer RNA (72 nucleotides) under Camelus ferus (Wild Bactrian camel). It matches the Rfam family "tRNA". Rfam says of the family: Transfer RNA (tRNA) molecules are approximately 80 nucleotides in length. Their secondary structure includes four short double-helical elements and three loops (D, anti-codon, and T loops). Further hydrogen bonds mediate the characteristic L-shaped molecular structure. tRNAs have two regions of fundamental functional importance: the anti-codon, which is responsible for specific mRNA codon recognition, and the 3' end, to which the tRNAs corresponding amino acid is attached (by aminoacyl-tRNA synthetases). tRNAs cope with the degeneracy of the genetic code in two manners: having more than one tRNA (with a specific anti-codon) for a particular amino acid; and 'wobble' base-pairing, i.e. permitting non-standard base-pairing at the 3rd anti-codon position. Lineage: Eukaryota; Metazoa; Chordata; Mammalia; Artiodactyla; Camelidae. The record is from Rfam by way of RNAcentral.